AAAAUAUAAAUUAAUGAUAUGAUUUGUAUGUUUUUGUUUUAUUUUAGGGAAACACCUUGACAAUAUCAGUAAGUUCUAUUUUUCUUCUAAUGAAACAUCUUACGUGAAGUUUUAGGCAGUAACGAAAAAUCCCAUGUAAUAACAAUUGAACCCAGAUAUUGCAAAGACUUAAGCCAAUAUGUAACUUUACGCAAUUCAGUGGGACUACUGCACAUGAAUAAGUGUUUGCAGGAUCAGGCCUAAAUCUGGAUGCACUCGGAUAAAAUAUUACAAGCGUCUAAUUAUUUAUGUGGAUUUCUUUCUCUCUCUUUUUAGGUGAACUCCAUGAAGAAAUUAGGGCACAUCUUGAAAAUAUUAGUAAGUUCAAUUUUUUUCCCCAUCUAACCUCUCAGUUGAAGUUGUACACAGUUAAAUUGUUGUUGUUUAAUUAAAGGAAUAAUGUCAAUUUGAAAAUCAAAUGCACACACUUUGGCCACUAUUCAGAAGGCACAGCAGCUCAGUCAUUUGCACGAUUGGGGUCUUUGUAAUAAAUCAUUGUCUAUAAAAUGGUAUGUCAGAAUAAAAACAGACUUUGAUAAUGUUAUGGUCUGUCCUUUCAUUUCUUGCACACAUGCCACUCCCAGUGCAAUCAAAGGGUGAUGGGCCGGGAGGAAUAGUAAUCAAAGUAUUCUGAAUUUUGAUUUUUCAUCAUCAUCAUUUUUAUUUCCAAUGACCAAAAAGGGGCAGGGAAAAUGUCAACCAAAUUGUCGCAUGCCCUCCCCUACCAAACACAAACUAUUUUCUCACUAGCUCUAACAAUUAAUAAUCAGACCUAAAGACACCUUGCUCUGCAAAACUGUAAAUCUUAAAAAAAUUAUAUCGGAGCCCUGAGCCGACACAUUCUUAAACUUAUGCUUCAUUUCAGCACACAGAUGGUCUUGUUGAAGUCAAUGGGAGUACUCACAUGCUUAACAUUGCGUACAAGCAUCACUCUUUGUAUCACCAGUGGCUUUGAGUCCAAGCCUGCAAGUGUUUACAUGCAUGAGUAACUUUAUUCACGUGCCUGAGUGUUGAUCAGAUUGGGUGUUUAUAAUGCAUUUUUGACCUGUAAUCUUAGCUCCUGAUCCUGCGUUUGGAGCCAUGCGAAUGAACUGUUGAAUUCAGCCCCACUGAUUUUAGUGUAGAUUUCAGACCUUUAGAAUAUCACCAG
Molecule: long non-coding RNA, 1189 nt
Filed under: Gopherus evgoodei (Goodes thornscrub tortoise)
Lineage: Eukaryota; Metazoa; Chordata; Testudines; Testudinidae
Description: lncRNA (ENSGEVG00005011731.1)
Source: RNAcentral